GUCGAGGAUCUUCGGCAAUGGGCGCAAGCCUGACCGAGCGACGCCGCGUGGGCGAUGAAGGCCUUCGGGUUGUAAAGCCCUGUCGAGGGGGAGGAAGGCGCAAGCUUGACCUAUCCCUGGAGGAAGCACGGGCUAAGUUCGUGCCAGCAGCCGCGGUAAGACGAACCGUGCAAACGUUGUUCGGAAUCACUGGGCAUAAAGGGCGCGUAGGCGGUCGGUCAAGUCUGGGGUGAAAUCUUUCGGCUCAACCGGAAACGUGCCCCGGAUACGGAUCGGCUGGAGGGAGGUAGGGGUCGACGGAACUUCCGGUGGAGCGGUGAAAUGCGUAGAUAUCGGAAGGAACACCGGUGGCGAAAGCGGUCGACUGGACCUUUUCUGACGCUGAGGCGCGAAAGCCAGGGGAGCAAACGGGAUUAGAUACCCCUGUAGUCC
This 432-nucleotide ribosomal RNA is filed under the name uncultured bacterium. Its description in RNAcentral is "bacterial SSU rRNA". It matches the Rfam family "Bacterial small subunit ribosomal RNA", at positions 354 to 796 of the family's 1533-position model. The record is from RNAcentral.